UACAGAGGGGGCAAGCGUUAUUCGGAAUUAUUGGGCGUAAAGGGCGCGUAGGCGGCCAAGCAAGUCAGGGGUGAGAUCCCUCGGCUCAACCGAGGAAUUGCCUCUGAAACUGCAUGGCUUGAGACCGGGAGAGGGUGGUGGAAUUCCCAGUGUAGCGGUGAAAUGCGUAGAUAUGCGGAGGAACACCAAUGGCGAAGGCAAUCCCCUGGGCCUGUACUGACGCUCAUGCACGAAAGCGUGGGGAGCAAACAGGAUUAGAAACCCCUGUAGU
This 271-nucleotide ribosomal RNA is filed under the name uncultured archaeon. RNAcentral describes it as "partial 16S ribosomal RNA". It matches the Rfam family "Bacterial small subunit ribosomal RNA", at positions 524 to 794 of the family's 1533-position model. The record is from RNAcentral.